Molecule: non-coding RNA, 70 nt
Filed under: Staphylococcus argensis
Lineage: Bacteria; Bacillati; Bacillota; Bacilli; Caryophanales; Staphylococcaceae
Also listed under: 1 other name
Description: S. aureus tsr31 small RNA
Rfam family: S. aureus tsr31 small RNA
Source: RNAcentral
UCCUUAAAAUAGGACGACGUGUAUAAAUGUUAUACGCUCCCCCUUACAACGUGUGAGAGGGAGCGCUUUU